UGAUUAUACUAGUAGUCCUUAUGCCCUGGGA
Molecule: non-coding RNA, 31 nt
Filed under: Rattus norvegicus (Norway rat)
Lineage: Eukaryota; Metazoa; Chordata; Mammalia; Rodentia; Muridae
Source: RNAcentral